This 97-nucleotide microRNA precursor is filed under the name Nicotiana sylvestris (wood tobacco). RNAcentral describes it as "MIR6152 microRNA precursor family". It matches the Rfam family "MIR6152 microRNA precursor family". Lineage: Eukaryota; Viridiplantae; Streptophyta; Magnoliopsida; Solanales; Solanaceae. The record is from Rfam by way of RNAcentral.
UGGAUAGAUUAUUGUAUUUGACUGUAUUCACGGCGUGAAAUAGGGGAUUACAUUACUUUUAAAACGGAAAGUGAAUCAAUUAACAUAAUAGACUCCC